This 460-nucleotide ribosomal RNA is filed under the name uncultured bacterium. RNAcentral describes it as "partial 16S ribosomal RNA". It matches the Rfam family "Bacterial small subunit ribosomal RNA", at positions 338 to 795 of the family's 1533-position model. The record is from RNAcentral.
CCUACGGGGGGCUGCAGUGAGGAAUAUUGGUCAAUGGGCGCGAGCCUGAACCAGCCAAGUAGCGUGAAGGAUGACUGCCCUACGGGUUGUAAACUUCUUUUAUAAAGGAAUAAAGUGAGGCACGUGUGCCUUUUUGUAUGUACUUUAUGAUUAAGGAUCGGCUAACUCCGUGCCAGCAGCCGCGGUAAUACGGAGGAUCCGAGCGUUAUCCGGAUUUAUUGGGUUUAAAGGGAGCGUAGAUGGGUUGUUAAGUCAGUUGUGAAAGUUUGCGGCUCAACCGUAAAAUUGCAAUUGAUACUGGCAGUCUUGAGUACAGUUGAGGUAGGCGGAAUUCGUGGUGUAGCGGUGAAAUGCUUAGAUAUCACGAAGAACUCCGAUUGCGAAGGCAGCUUACUAAACUGCCACUGACAUUGAUGCGCGAAAGUGUGGGGAGCAAACAGGAUUAGAUACCCGAGUAGUC